CACAGGUAAGCUCGGGAGUGUUAAAUAAGCCAUACGCGUCAAGUUAAGGGCGAACUCAGGAAAUUUAAGGCAACUGAGCUUACCAAGAAAAACCUACUCUUUAGCGUAACAAAAAAUUCAAUUAUUUACUUUCUCUAAAUCGCAAAAAAUGUCCUACCUUUUAGAGAAAAAUGGCGAAAGGUUAAUAGAUUAUGAAAAGAAAAUGGAAAUUUUGGGGAAAAUAAUUAGGUACGAAAUGUCGUAUGUAUGUGGGUAAAAAUAAGCUAUUAUUGAAGAUUUUUGCUAUACUAAAAUUAACUUAGAGAGGAGCUUACAACUAUGGGUAAA
Molecule: non-coding RNA, 327 nt
Organism: Cinara cedri
Lineage: Eukaryota; Metazoa; Arthropoda; Insecta; Hemiptera; Aphididae
Source: the annotation of a GenBank genome assembly